Molecule: long non-coding RNA, 7849 nt
Organism: Harpia harpyja (harpy eagle)
Lineage: Eukaryota; Metazoa; Chordata; Aves; Accipitriformes; Accipitridae
Exons: 8
Source: RefSeq, a predicted model, not a curated record
UGCAAGCUGCACCCACGAGCCUAAGGACUCUGCGGCCGUACCUUCCUCAAGAGGGAUUUGUGUAUUAAGCUGCUGGUGCUGUACCCAUGAAAGCAGUGGCUGAGCAGUCUUGCCUGUGGAGGAACCACUGCUGCUUUGUUUUCAGGUCUCCGAGGAGCGCUGGCACAGUGCGGGAGGACGGUGCGCUGCCGGCUGCUGCAUGCGAGCUGCCGUGGUGGCCGGCUGAGCUCUGCAUGAGCUGGAGCCAGCCACAGCAUCAGCGGGGCAAGCAGUGAGAAACGGGCUGCCUGUACCAGUCUGAAGGUUCAGCUCUGCCAGAGGUUAGAAAAGAGGUUGUUUGUCUGAAGAGACAAGGGUGUGGUGAAAAUACUCUGUACCAGCCAAGUGAACCAAAACACAAUCUGAAUUACAAAGCAGGCUGGAAAAUAAAAUUCAACUGACAGAAGAUCUGGACCCCACCUGUGCUGAAAGACGGAGAGAAACGGAGUCCCAGGAACUGGCCAUGUACAGCUCCUGGAGCUAAUUAGGAGAUAAUGCCAGUGGAACCAAAUACUGUCACGAGAUAAUGAUCUCGCACCGUUAUAGAAAUGGAGAUGCUGCUUCCCAGUGCAGGCUACGUUUCACCUCGUGGUUCAUUUCCAGGCAUCAUCCUGCAGGGCAUUCCCCUCUCCCCUUGCAAGGCCAUCCCCACAGGCAGGAAUGCUGCUAUUGACCUAUUUUCUACAAUCAAGACAGAAGGGGGCAGGAGGGAAAAGUCUACACUCAGGUUUUUGCUAUUGGACACACUUCAUCCCUGAUAGGGCAUCUGCACUAUGAAGUUCACCCUGAAUGAAUGGGCAUUCAGGUGUCUUCACCUCCAGGAGACAGCGCACAACUCUCAGGCUGAAUGAGCCCCAGCUGGAUAGUUUUUUUAAAAUCUCCAUGGGUAACAGACCUGGAAGACUUUUCCCUCAUGCUGGCCUGGGCUGAACACUUGGUGGACAGGCUGUCUCUGACAGAAGAAUACAGUUCAUCAAAAGUGUCUGCAGGUUGUCAAACUCUGUGAGAUUUGGGGACACUCGGAGGCUGUCAUGGCCAACAAGAAGAUUUUCUGUAGGGUUCUGCCAUCAUUCACCCUCAGGAAAUAAUCACUCACUACAUUCUGCAUGCUCUCAUGAUAGAGCUCUAUUUGAGAGAAAAGAGCCAUUUUAUCAAAGGACAAUAUAUCCCUUCUCUUGGUCCAUGCAGCUUCCAUUAUCAGACCAUAAUAAAUCAUAUUUAUGUUCUCAGUUAAUAAGACUGAUUACAAUGCAGGUUACAGGCAUGGGAAAAGCAAAGCAGGUGAAAAGAUGUUUUAAUGAAAAUAUGAUAAGCAAACAGCUUCUUGUGAACAUUUCAGGCUGUUAUUUGUAAUGAUCACAGGCAAUUUUUGAUACAUCUUCUUUAGCAAUGGUUUAAGCUGCAUAAAUUGGCUUGCCACUUUAUACGUUGAAAUAGGAAGAAUCCCAGUGUCCUCCUUAUGUUGUCUAGAAUCAUUAUAUACAUUAUAAGCAUAAAAUGAGUUUAAUGUAUGUGCUUUGAAAAGAAGGGGAAAACAGAAAAUCAGGGAAGACUGAUUUUAAUGCUGCUCAAAAUGAUUUUGAAAUUUUCUACUCAUCUUUGUUACUAACGGUACAUUUUCCAUGAAAUUUAGGAAUGACAUGUACUGCUUUCAUCUCCUUAAAAUUAAUAUACUGCUCUUUCUGUUUUUCUCAAUUUCUUCAAAGUUCUUUUUAGAGCACUGUGCAAAGAGACAGAGAGAAAUUCUCCACUCGAUGUGUGAGCAUAUCUGCUAUUAAUGCUGAGGGGAGUUAAGUGUGUGCUUCUACAAGAGAAUAUACCCCAGUGUUCAAUACUGAAAGGUACCCUAUUAAAAAGGUGCAAGCAUGUUUAGCUCCAGCACAUGUGAUGCAUUCAAGGGCCAACUUCCUAAGAAUUUUUUUAAGUGAUUAAGAUCUUUUUUGGUCAGGUAAAAGUUCUGAUAUGAUUUCAGCAUAUAACUGUAUGGAGGGAAGUGGCUGAUGGACUGUCUUGCUCUCAUCUUGUGGAAAGUCUUCUUUUGUUAUUGUUAUGUUCAGCAUCAUACUUUCAAGAUGAAGUUAGAAAUGUAAGGAAUAAUUUCCUCCUGCUGAUACAUAAUUUCGACCAAGUCUCUGAAAUUCUACAGCACUUGCAGAACACUGGUGACAAAGGCUCCUUGGUGUUGUGUGUCUGCAAGACCUAUUCUGGUCACUGAUAUUUCCCCCAAAUAAUUCUUAAACAAAUUUUAAAGCUUUGUAAUUGGCCUGGCCCUGGAGAAUGACCAUGAAAUUCCCUUAACCCUUCUAGGGCACUUCAACAAGAGAAGUGCCCACACAAGAAACAGCAAACUGCUUUUCAAAGGCAAUAUCCUGAUAUGAAAACAGACAUAGAUAAUGUACUUCAUGAUGGAACUGCUUGAUACAGAGAAAAACAUGUUGUAACUGCUUUCACCGUGAAAAGGGUUUAAAAAUGCUGCCUGCCAACGCCACAAAACCCAGAGCUGCUAUUUCAGUUAAAGGCCAGUGGAUUGUAUUUUUCAUGUCAGUUUUCACUAACCUCAAACAUCACUGUUAUGACAGACCGUCAUCCAACCAAACUAGCACUCUGGUGCCAUUCAAGCAGGCAGGAAGAAAGCAAACAUGAAGGAAACUUAAAAGUCCAAUUAGUAAGUGGGGGGUGCACGUGAAUGAAUUACUUUUAUGUAAUGAUACUGAUUACUGAAAAUUAAACACUUAAAAGAAAAUAAACAAAAAGCAGUGCUUUCUGAGCCAGUGGUGUUUUCUUGGCUGGCAAUUUCUCUUUGUUCAGUUUCAUGACACCAGCCUCAAUGGUUGAAGGGGUGUUCUGGGCCAGAUGUCAAUCACAAUGUCUGACAUAAACAAAAAUAGCUAAAAAGGCACGCCAGCAUCUUCCUUUUGUUUUCCCAUUAGCUCCAUUUUUCUUUUCAUAGGCUGACAAAAAAUUACUGCCUCCAAGUGAAUUCAGUAAUGUCGCUAUAUAUCUAAUAUCUAGGAGCCCUUUUGUUUUAGCUUUACUGGGCUUAACCACAAAAGACACUUGACAUUGACAAAGAAUCUGUCAAACAUACAAUGAUCAGUGCAAUGAAACCUCUCAUGACAGAAGGGCACUAUUCUGCUUCCCCCCCCCGCCUCCAGCAGCAGCCUGUCUGAGCAAAAUAUGCUGGAGCACAUGUAGCAGCUGAACCAUUACAGAGCAGGCCAGAAGCUGAGAUGUGUCUUGUUUAAAUUGUCAUAGCAUAUUAGUAUAAUUAAAACCGCCAAAAGAGUAGAAAAGAUAGAUGGAAAUGUUACAUUACUUGUUUCUAGAGAUUAACCUCCAGCCAGAACUGAAACAGAGGCACACGUUUUGGAUUUCCUAGAGCUCUGAUAUGGAAGAAAACAAGCCCGAGAGUAUGUCUCUUGAAGUGUGAGACAUGAAGUCAUAGUUCCUGUAUUUACACAAUAAAGCAGAAAUAGUGUUCAGACAGACACUCUGUUUUCUCUGUGAUUGCAGCUCCUGUUGUGGCUGUACUCUGCAACGCAGUUGUGUCAUCUCUCAGCUACCUCCUUUUCACUCUCCUUUGCCUUCGUGCCUGCAAGGUCUUGACAGUCCUUGGGCCUGCUAAUGAGCUGGUGCUACCACUCUCCGCUCCCUCCCCAUCUCUGAGCUUGGCUGGUGCUUCAGGUGCCCAGCCCUGAAGCAGCACACAGUGUCCUGGCUGGUGGCUGCGGAGGCCAUGGCUUGGGCUCUGGGGCUCAGCAAUGCCAAGCAGCUGUGCUCAGGAAGUCCUCCUGCACAGGCUUCGUCCCCUGGGCAUGCCUGUGCCCGGGCAAGAGAAACAAACACCUACUGGAGGCAGGCACAGGUAGAGCAGCCCUGAGACUGCUCUUGAAUUGCACAGGGGAGCCAGACUGGAGCUGGGAGUCAGACUAAGAUUGUCUUCGCUUAGGCUGUUUCUGCUUCUCAUUGCCAAGGAAGAUGUUCAAACAAUGGCUUCAAUUUAAAAUCUGAACUUUCAAAUGCCAAGCUCCAUGCUUGCUUCUGUGUUGAACGGACAGAUAAAAACACAUGGCUUUCUAAAAUUGACCCUGCAAAUUAUGUUAUCUUCAUUGGAUGAGAUGUUUUCCUUCCCAUGCAUCAUUACCUCUGAUAACUAUUCAGGACUAACUAGUUAUGAUGCCAAUUUCUAAUUAUGCCCCAAGUUAUAUCUGGUGGUGAGAAACCGAUGGAGAACCUUCUGUGGAUCUGUUCAGUUGUAGAUGUUGGAACCUGAUUUAUCCAGAAGCUGGGGAGGACCUGAACUGGCUCCGGCAGUUCUGAAAGACAGCAAAAGCAGCACGGCUUUCCUCUGACAAAAGUGGUACAUUCAAGGAGAAGAUACAGGAAUCAGGUUCAUCUAAGUGACCAUAAAAUUCUUGAGAAGUUUAUUAAUUUCAAAUCACAAUAACAGAGUAAUUUCCAGGUCAGAUUUCCUAGAAGACGACUCAGUACCACGGACAAUCGCAUGGUCUAUUAAACAGAACAGUAUGGUUUGUGGAAAAGAUAAUAGUCCAGAUCACGAGAUAGCACCAGAUUUUACGUUAUGAUCUCCAGAUGUCUUUGGGAACUUAAUGCAUCCAGCAUUAGUUCAAGUCUAAUCUGCAUGGCAGAAAUGCGAGUUGGUCCAAUUUUCUCCUCUUUGGGGCUGUGUGGAGAAACUGUCUCCCUAAGGGCUGCAGAGGACAGGCUGGGGUAGUUUGGCCAUGCUUUGGUAAAAAUAUUCACCGCAUUGCCAACUGCUCCUGGACUGCCCAGUGGUAUCACGUGCAGAAAAGAAAAGGAUUCAUCUUUGCUUAGUGGGACAGUGCUGUGCCCAGGUCUUUCUGAUACAUGCCCGUCAGAGCUGGCUCUACGCGUUGGCCAAGCAGGCAAUUAUUUAGGGCAGCAAAGUGAUUGUGGCCUCACUGCCUGCUUCAUCCGUGCUUCCAGAGCGCUGGAGAGGCAGGCGGGUGUUGUGCUGCUACUCUGGAGAGAAGAGUUUGCCUGAAGGACAGGAAAGUCCCACCUGGCAGUGUCCACGUUCCCAUCUGGCUGCAGAAAGCUGGUGAGUCUGCCCCUGACUGCCUCCACACAGACAUAACAGGCCUCCCUGUGCUGUCCCCAGCCCUACGCUUUGAAAGCACCAACGUUCCCUUUUGCUUCCAAUGCUGAAAAGCCCUGAGUUACAGCAGCUUGUCACAACUGUCAGGCUUCUGUGACAACCUUAUUGUAUCAUUCUAAGCAGUGCAUGUUGAUUCACUGGAGGGAGGGUAGACUUUGCCAAAUUGAGGCAUCAUUUACUUGCUUAGAAGCUCCUGGAGUGAGUGUCUCUGCAACGGGAAGGCAGCUCCCCUGCUGUUUCCACGGUGCAACUUUGGAGUUCAAUACAUUCCCCUGAGCGUCUGCUGUAAAACAAUGUAUUGCAUCAGUUCCCUGAACCAGGGUCUUGGUGAAGUCCACAGUAUGGUGGUGUUGAGCAAGGGAUGAAAUCACCCCAGGGGAUUUCCAGCGCUUUGCAGGGCAGCCCAGUAUCCUGCUGUGCCCAGAGGGGCCACAGAUGUCCAGGAGCUUCUGGUGGGUCACAUGUACCUAUAAACACGAUACAGUAUUUGCUCCAUUGCAUUCCUGGCGGAGAGCGCUUUGUACUGGUAGAGGUAGAUGGUGGGGGAUAACAAUGCAAGGAUCUGCCAGUGCAUUUCCUUUUCAAUUUCAGCACCAUUGGGCUGGGAAGUAAAAAAGAGCUCUGCAAACAGAACAAGUGUCUGACAUGACACUGCAACAUAAAAAAAAGCUCACGGCUACUUUUCCUCCAUGGAAAUCUGUACAAAAAUUGGCAAUUUGGGACUUUGUGAAUUUCUCUCUGGAGUCAAAAAUUCAGUGUGAGUGCACAAAAGAGUGUGAGGAGAGAGCAUUUUGGCUCCUUCAACCCUGUGCAGAAAACCUCCCAGGGUUCAGAUAGGAUUUUAGCAUUUCUUGCAGUCUUCAAAUGUGCUGUGCAAGGAUGUGCUUAUACAUAAUUUUGUAAUUGAAAUGGCAUGUUUACUGUUCUAUUUCAUGCUUGAUUGUGUUUUUUAAACACCUUUACUCAUGCUGUUAGAAGUGGGAUUAUAAUUAAAAUGUCCUGUUGAACACCUUGUUCAGUUCAAUGAAGGCGUAAUAGAAGUAUAAAUACUUGUUCUCGUUGACUCUGUGAUGUCAGCACAACAAACACAGUAAAUGUCAUAAACCAAAUCUCUCUUUCGCCAAAGCAUCCGUCAGAAGGGAAGGGGAAACAGAAUCUGCAGCUGGGCAAUGAGGGGACCUCUUUUUUGGUAAAAGGAAAUAUUUUGAGAUAUUAUAAUAUCUGUGAUAUAGAUGUGUUAACUAAGGCAUGGAAUGAUUGACUGAUUUAGCUAGUUAUGAGAAAAAAUCAGAGUGGAAUUUGUUCCUCUUCUCGCAGUCCCUUGGCCUAAAGACUAGGCAGUACUUUCUCCUUCUACAGUUGCCAUUAGGAAAUGCUGAGUCUGGUUAUAAAGUGUGAAAGAGUAACUUAUAUUUCUUAUUAUUCCUGUUUGCUUAAAAUGUGUACAGAUACACAGGCUUCAUGUUUUUAUGGUGGGGUUGAACUGCAACACAAAGUCCAAAUGUUUCUAAGUCAACAUGCAGUCGUUACAGCACUUCUGCAUAGCAAUAAUGGUUUAAUUUUCUCAGUGUUUUCUCUUGUACUCUAAGUUACCACCGAUGAUGAGAUGCGUACCCAUCCUGGCAGGCGAUUGUUCAGUCUUAAGGAACUUUAAAUUACUUCACAGCUUGAAAUUCCAGAGCUACCAAAACCAGCUUUAUUGGAGUGAAAGGCACCUGGAAGUACUGGAUGUCCCAGAGGAAUUCAGCCAGAGGGACACGCAGGUCUGAGAGACUUUGCGGCUAAGGUUGUGUUCCAGUGAUUGCUACUUUUGUGGGCUUGCAGGUUUCUUCCCCUGCCAUGGGAGAGGAAAAUGAUGCCUGGAAUUUGUGGUAGAUGAUACAAAUGACUGCCUGAUUGUGUAAAACCUUAAAUAGGUCUUUAGAGAGGAGACCCUCAAGUGUUGUGUGACUCUAUGGAUCACACAACAGCACUUAGGUACGGGGAGUCUGGAGAGACAAGUGGGAAGUCUUUGCAGAAAAGACUGCAUCGACAUUUAGACAAAAAUAUAGCUCUGUGAGGUACAUGCCACUUGCAGCAUUGACCUGGGUAAACCUUUUGUUCGCUUGGUACCGACUGCUGCUGUUAUUCACACGGAUGCAAAAUCACAAGCAGGCGGCUCAGUGGGGUUUUAGGUGGGCGCACCCAGACCCCCGGGCCGGGCCCGCGGGGCUGCCCAGGGAGCCCGUCGGACUCGGCGCACGCAGGGUGGCAGAAAGGGGCUCUUUUCACGAUUAGUCCCUGCAAUAUUGUGUAUUUUUAACAAAUUUACAGCAUAGAGCAGCACUAGCCUCAGAAGGUUGACAAGGCGGUUAAAUGCAUGCAGACAAGGUGCUCCCUCCAAGCAAGCAGGCUUUGUUAACACCUGUAAGGUUAAAAACCUGCCUUUACACUGUACUUGAGAAAGCAAAUAACGCCGUGUAAAGCGGCAGCAGUAACACCACAGCCCCGGGGCCCACCCUGUAGCGGGACUGCGACAGCCACGUCCGCUGCCCCCAGCGACGGCGGCCCAAGGCCCCUGGGGCUCGGGCAGGGCCCCCCUCGCCCCCCCCCGCGCCCCGGGCUCGAGCAGAGCCCACCGCCACGGCCGGGCCCCCCACCGCCGCGGCCGGCCGGGCAGCGGCCCCGCCA